RNAcentral lists this transfer RNA (76 nucleotides) under Akkermansiaceae bacterium. RNAcentral's name for it is "tRNA-Glu". It matches the Rfam family "tRNA". Rfam says of the family: Transfer RNA (tRNA) molecules are approximately 80 nucleotides in length. The record is from RNAcentral. Lineage: Bacteria; Pseudomonadati; Verrucomicrobiota; Verrucomicrobiia; Verrucomicrobiales; Akkermansiaceae.
GACCCGUUCGUCUAGUGGUCCAGGACUCCGCCCUUUCACGGCGGCAACACGGGUUCGAGUCCCGUACGGGUUGCCA